This 497-nucleotide ribosomal RNA is filed under the name uncultured bacterium. RNAcentral describes it as "partial 16S ribosomal RNA". It matches the Rfam family "Bacterial small subunit ribosomal RNA", at positions 28 to 507 of the family's 1533-position model. The record is from RNAcentral.
GAUGAACGCUGGCGGCGUGCCUAAUACAUGCAAGUCGAGCGAACGGACGAGAAGCUUGCUUCUCUGAUGUUAGCGGCGGACGGGUGAGUAACACGUGGAUAACCUACCUAUAAGACUGGGAUAACUUCGGGAAACCGGAGCUAAUACCGGAUAAUAUUUUGAACCGCAUGGUUCAAAAGUGAAAGACGGUCUUGCUGUCACUUAUAGAUGGAUCCGCGCUGCAUUAGCUAGUUGGUAAGGUAACGGCUUACCAAGGCAACGAUGCAUAGCCGACCUGAGAGGGGGAUCGGCCACACUGGAACUUAGACACGGUCCAGACUCCUACGGGAGGCAGCAGUAGGGAAUCUUCCGCAAUGGGCGAAAGCCUGACGGAGCAACGCCGCGUGAGUGAUGAAGGUCUUCGGAUCGUAAAACUCUGUUAUUAGGUAAGAACAUAUGUGUAAGUAACUGUGCACAUCUUGACGGUACCUAAUCAGAAAGCCACGGCUAACUACGUG